CCCAGACUCCUACGGGAGGCAGCAGUGGGGGAUAUUGCACAAUGGGGGGAACCCUGAUGCAGCGACGCCGCGUGGGUGAAGGAGCGUUUCGGCGCGUAAAGCCCUAUCGGCAGGGAAGAAGGAGGACGGUACCUGACUAAGAAGCCCCGGCUAACUACGUGCCAGCAGCCGCGGUAAUACGUAGGGGGCAAGCGUUAUCCGGAUUUACUGGGUGUAAAGGGAGCGUAGACGGCAUGGCAAGCCAGAUGUGAAAUACCGGGGCUCAACCCCGGGACUGCAUUUGGAACUGUUAAGCUGGAGUGUCGGAGAGGCAGGCGGAAUUCCUAGUGUAGCGGUGAAAUGCGUAGAUAUUAGGAGGAACACCAGUGGCGAAGGCGGCCUGCUGGACGAUAACUGACGUUGAGGCUCGAAAGCGUGGGGAGCAAACAGGAUUAGAUACCCUAGUAA
This 447-nucleotide ribosomal RNA is filed under the name uncultured bacterium. RNAcentral describes it as "partial 16S ribosomal RNA". It matches the Rfam family "Bacterial small subunit ribosomal RNA", at positions 330 to 793 of the family's 1533-position model. The record is from RNAcentral.